Ribosomal RNA from Microcebus murinus (gray mouse lemur), 116 nucleotides. The record is from Ensembl. Lineage: Eukaryota; Metazoa; Chordata; Mammalia; Primates; Cheirogaleidae.
GUCUAUAGCCAUACCACCCUGAAUGUGCCUGAUCUCAUUUGAUCUUGAAAGCUAAGCAGGGUCAGGCCUGGUUAGUACUUGGAUGGGAGAUCUCCUUUAACCUAGCAUUGUAUUUA